RNAcentral lists this non-coding RNA (352 nucleotides) under Pan troglodytes (chimpanzee). The record is from RNAcentral. Lineage: Eukaryota; Metazoa; Chordata; Mammalia; Primates; Hominidae.
ACAUUUAAAGGCAUAAAGUAUUUACUCACUCCCUGGCCACAGCCACCGUUACCUUCUGAAUCCCAACUUCGGAUAUAAUUAUUGAUAUAUUUAUAACGAGUUUAUGAAGAAUGUGAAAAAGAUCUGACCACCCUAGCUAUGGACUGAAGUUGGAGCCUCUUUUCUAAUAUAAUGCAAUUGACCAAGACUGCUUGGGAGCAGCUGUCAGUAUUGUUUAAAGCUGUCAUUCAAUAUGGCCAAACUCUUUGUUACCUAAAACCCCUUGUCUGAUCUGUUGCCUCUGUUUCACUUUUCCAAUUAGAUGAAUGACAGAAACAAAAAAUCGUAAUAAAUAUUGUCAAAUCUGAUUUUA